Molecule: ribosomal RNA, 424 nt
Filed under: uncultured prokaryote
Description: bacterial SSU rRNA
Rfam family: Bacterial small subunit ribosomal RNA
Source: RNAcentral
CGACGAAUCUUCCGCAAUGGGCGAAAGCCUGACGGAGCAAUGCCGCGUGCGGGAUGAAGCGGCUUCGCCGUGUAAACCGCUGUCAGGGUCCAGAACCAACGAUCGGACCCAGAGGAAGGGCCGGCUAAACUCGUGCCAGCAGCCGCGGUAAGACGAGUGGCCCGAGCGUUAGGCGGAAUCACUGGGCUUAAAGGGUGCGUAGGCGGAUGCGCAAGCGUCUUGUGAAAUCCCCCGGCUCAACCGGGGAACAGCAGGGCGAACUGCGUGUCUUGAGGCAGGUAGGGGGCAACGGAACUAUCGGUGGAGCGGUGAAAUGCGUAGAUACCGAUAGGAACGCCAGUGGUGAAGACGGUUGCCUGGGCCUGUCCUGACGCUGAGGCACGAAAGCGUGGGGAGCAAACAGGAUUAGAUACCCCCGUAGUCC